RNAcentral lists this transfer RNA (73 nucleotides) under Ruaniaceae bacterium. Its description in RNAcentral is "tRNA-Arg". It matches the Rfam family "tRNA". From Rfam's summary of the family: Transfer RNA (tRNA) molecules are approximately 80 nucleotides in length. Their secondary structure includes four short double-helical elements and three loops (D, anti-codon, and T loops). Lineage: Bacteria; Bacillati; Actinomycetota; Actinomycetes; Micrococcales; Ruaniaceae. The record is from RNAcentral.
GCCUCCGUAGCUCAAUGGAUAGAGCAACAGACUUCUAAUCUGCAGGUUCCGGGUUCGAGUCCCGGCGGGGGCA